This 317-nucleotide ribosomal RNA is filed under the name Staphylococcus aureus. Its description in RNAcentral is "bacterial SSU rRNA". It matches the Rfam family "Bacterial small subunit ribosomal RNA", at positions 1 to 307 of the family's 1533-position model. Lineage: Bacteria; Bacillati; Bacillota; Bacilli; Caryophanales; Staphylococcaceae. The record is from RNAcentral.
UUUAUGGAGAGUUUGAUCCUGGCUCAGGAUGAACGCUGGCGGCGUGCCUAAUACAUGCAAGUCGAGCGAACGGACGAGAAGCUUGCUUCUCUGAUGUUAGCGGCGGACGGGUGAGUAACACGUGGAUAACCUACCUAUAAGACUGGGAUAACUUCGGGAAACCGUAGCUAAUACCGGAUAAUAUUUUGAACCGCAUGGUUCAAAAGUGAAAGACGGUCUUGCUGUCACUUAUAGAUGGAUCCGCGCUGCAUUAGCUAGUUGGUAAGGUAACGGCUUACCAAGGCAACGAUGCAUAGCCGACCUGAGAGGGUGAUCGG